AGUCCGACGCCAUUGCCUGCUUUGCGUUAUGUGCCGUCCAACGUCGCGCCCGUUUGCCUCUCGGUAGCGUUCCACCGCGUUUGACACUGCAUACUCUGGCUCAUUGUUCGCGGUGGUGCGCCUCAUGCAGCACUUUCAUCGCCUUGACUCCAUGUUCGGCCUUCAUGUCGGUGUUGUGGUCUUCAAUUCUUGUAAAUUGCUAAUCAACAUCAGCAGCAAGAUCACAAGCUAACAUGCAUUAGUUCUUUUUGCAACAUAUAGUCUCAAUGUUUCCAGAACUGCAAUAACGAUGGCUUUUUCCCAACUGGAGAGUACACCAUGGGUAUGGCUGACAAAUGAAAGCAACCUGAGCUCAGUCAAGGACAAUGCUGAGAAACUUUCCAUACUGAUUCAACUAACGGAAAUGCUUCGAACAGGCUGCCCUCUACCGUAUCUUUGAAAGGAGGAAGAAUUACAGCACAAAGGAGCAACAGACCUUUGACAAGUUGGCCUCCUGCCAAAGGCACCUCAAGGAACUGCAUCUCAUAUGUUGCACCAUUGCUGCGAGAGCUCCCUUUCAAUUCAUUGUGGAACAGGACCAAGUCUCUGGGAUACACAUAUGACGGCAUAAUAACUUGCAUUGGAGUUGGGAAUGUUUUGCCAAGCCAAUGCAAUUGUCAGCAUGCUGCUGCAAUGCUAGGUUCCCUGAAGCCAUUCCCACCAGUGUCCUGCAGUAAAGUGGCUAAUUGAAGAUAAGGCAUCAGCCUUGUGCCAUGCAGUGAAUUAGUGUCUUCAGAAAUUGGGAAAAGAUUGUGCUGAAAGUGAAGUGCUGUGGCUGAAUGAAAAAAGUGGGUGCCUUUUAUUGCGCUGUGAAAGUGAGUACCAAAAGUAUAGCCCUAGGAAAGCGCAGGGCUGGAAGUAGUAAAUGGCUGGUGUGGUGCCAAAAGUCUGCUGUGCUUUUGUGCAAGUGUGAGUGUAUGUGUGCAUGCGUUCUUUUUUAAUCAACAUGCAGAUGCAUGCACAUUUGUGUGGUGCAUCCUCAAGUUAAUAAAUUUAGUGUCAUUGGUGUUAUGUCUUUUGACAUAACAAUUGGCCUUGCCUCGUGCUGUGCUACAUCUCUCACAAUAAGUGUUCACCUCAGCCAGUGUUUUGAAGAUUCAUCAAGCCACCAAGAUGAUCUACACUGCCGAACGACCACUUAUUGUGCAGCUGAUCGGCAAAGUAGUGCAUCCCUGUGUGCUGUGUGCCAAGUAGACGUCAGCAGUUGUGCAGUGAAAGUAAUUUGCGAAAGUGGUUUGAGGGGGGGGGGGGGGGUGAGUGAAGUUACAAGAUAUCUACAGUUUUCAUCUUGUCAGUGGUGCGGUGCUGUUUCAAAGUGAUGUGCAGUGCGAUAUGUGAAGUGAGCCAUGUGGUGAGAGUGUAGUACCAUGUGUAAUUGUUGGCUUCUCAUCAUGUGUAAUUAUGUGGUUUCAAGGUGCAUACUCCUAGUGAGUAGGCAGUCAGCACCAAGUGUGUAGGAGGUGAAGUGCAUCAAGCUCAUGUUUUCUGUCACUGCCAUAUUUAGCAGCAAGUCGUGAAGAAAUCCCGAAUGUCUACAAAGGUUCAAGGCAAAUGUGCUUGCACCUAUCAUGGGCCUCCAUGGAGAGCUUCAUAGUAUGCAUAUGUGAUAUGUCACUGGUGUUCAAUGCAUAGCCAGUGGUUCAUUAACACCAAGUACUUCAAGAAGCACGAUCAAGUAUGCCAAACUAGUUCAACAUGCUGAUGCAGGUGGAACUUUCUACUCUGAGCUCUGUUGGAGUUCCUCUGGCAUAUGCAAAUAUUCAAGGCACUUUGUUGUUUCAGUCAGCACUGGAGCACAAGAUACCUACAUUCAAACCAACAGAGAUAAAAUACAGUCAACUUUUUGCUAUGCAGUCGGAAAUUGGUCACAGUUCACAUAGCCUUGGGAUCAAGCUGCUGCCUGAAAAUGGAUCCAUCAUGGCAGGAAAAUCCUGUUUGAUUUAUUAAUGUCACAGGUAUGCCCAACACAGUGAGUAUCCAGGCUUAGGUGACAUCUCGCAAUGUCCUUCAAGCUGCGCAUGAAACUGCAUGCUCAUUUAAAGUGACGAUUUUACAUUGUCAGUUCAGAGGAUUUUCGUUUUUGGAAGUCCAAAAUAAGGGUGCAGUGCAAACAUAUAAGAAAGUACUAUAUUUAAAGCAGCUAUACAUUUUAACUCACUUUAUCAAUUUGACUGCUGUAGUUCACACGUAGCCUUACGAAUAUCGUAUAAAUAUGCAUAUAACUGCUUGGUAAAAAGAACAGGCACAAAGCUUAUACACAAAUUCAUUAGAAAUUAGUGCAGCUUAAUCAGCUCUUCUGAAGUGUGCAUAUUUGGUGGUGGUGUUAAAACAAUCAUUGCAUGUAUGUUGAAAGGCUUCCAGGUUGUUGCUGGCUGUGGUUAGACCAGUGCUCCCACAGGUAUGUGUUUAUCACUCAGCAAUUGGCACCAGUACAGUAUGCAGUGUGGGUGGUGCACCUUUCAUCUCUUGGAUUCUAGUGGGUAAUGUGGCUGACCUUUUGUGAAUGUAAGUACUCCAAUCACCUUAUUGCUAUUCCACAACAUGCAUGCACU
Molecule: long non-coding RNA, 2591 nt
Organism: Dermacentor albipictus
Lineage: Eukaryota; Metazoa; Arthropoda; Arachnida; Ixodida; Ixodidae
Source: RefSeq, a predicted model, not a curated record